Molecule: ribosomal RNA, 498 nt
Filed under: uncultured bacterium
Lineage: Bacteria
Description: partial 16S ribosomal RNA
Rfam family: Bacterial small subunit ribosomal RNA
Source: RNAcentral
AUUGAACGCUGGCGGCAUGCCUUACACAUGCAAGUCGAACGGUAACAGGUCUUCGGACGCUGACGAGUGGCGAACGGGUGAGUAAUACAUCGGAACGUGCCCAGUCGUGGGGGAUAACUACUCGAAAGAGUAGCUAAUACCGCAUACGAUCUGAGGAUGAAAGCGGGGGACCUUCGGGCCUCGCGCGAUUGGAGCGGCCGAUGGCAGAUUAGGUAGUUGGUGGGAUAAAAGCUUACCAAGCCGACGAUCUGUAGCUGGUCUGAGAGGACGACCAGCCACACUGGGACUGAGACACGGCCCAGACUCCUACGGGAGGCAGCAGUGGGGAAUUUUGGACAAUGGGCGAAAGCCUGAUCCAGCAAUGCCGCGUGCAGGAUGAAGGCCUUCGGGUUGUAAACUGCUUUUGUACGGAACGAAAAAGCUCCUUCUAAUACAGGGGGCCCAUGACGGUACCGUAAGAAUAAGCACCGGCUAACUACGUGCCAGCAGCCGCGGUAA